Molecule: long non-coding RNA, 1176 nt
Organism: Parasteatoda tepidariorum (common house spider)
Lineage: Eukaryota; Metazoa; Arthropoda; Arachnida; Araneae; Theridiidae
Source: RefSeq, a predicted model, not a curated record
GUAAACACUUAGAGAAUAAAAGUAAAUAAAUAAAGACACGGGAGAUGUGAUCAGUUACAGAAUGAUCGCCCAAAUCUUGGCAACUUCUGAUAAACUAUAAGAAAAAGUAAAAAACAUUACAAGGACAAUUACUAAUAUUCUCCCAAACGUCACAAAGCUGUCAGAACACAAACUCCUAGGAUUCCCAUUCCCAAAUAUGAUCCUAAUAUUUUUUUCUUUCAGCGCAUGCGCUAUUAUUCGCCCGCUACUUACGAACUUAAAAAGAGAAGAAUCUGUCCUUUCUCACAAAAGUUUCAAGUUGUCUUUCGAAUCAAAAGAUGAAAUUGGUUAAGAUCUUUAAAAAGUUUGCUUGUUGAAAAGGAAUUGGUUUCAUUGUAAAAGUUUGGCAUUUCCCAUCCUUCGUCAUCUUCAUCUUCGAAAUAAUGAGCAUAUGUACUGUGAUGAGAAGGUGCAAUGCUCUCAGCAUAAGGAGCGGGUGCACCAUAAAAGAAGUUAGUCUGUGAGCCCGUGAGGUCCAUAUGAGGCUCUGGCAUCUUUUGCAUUUUCUUCUUACGAGUAGAUCUAAAGAACAAAAAAAUAAAUUUUAUUAAUUUUUUGAAGAGAAAGGUAUUAAAAACAAACUAAGAAAUAAUCAUCCGGGCUUAAAAUCAAUGGUGGUCAGUUGGUCCAAGGCUACCCAAAUUCGACUCGAAACCCUUUGAAAUAAUUAUUAGUGGUUCAACAAUCAAUGUUAAGGGUAACAUUCUUGUUCACUGGUGGCUGCAACUUCAGGCGUUGUUUUUCCAGGAACACAUUGUUGGCAGGAUGGCAUACCUCUAGACCUGAAAUAGCCUCUCUGGCAGGGAACACAUUCCCCAUUCUCAUCUAACUCAUAUCCUGACAGGCAUUCCUCUGCAGAUUUAGAUACUGCUUGGUUACGGCGCGUUGUAAGGCCAGCACCACAAGGUAUACAGUUGAAUGUUCCUUCUGCAGGUUGAUAGAAUCCAUAACCACAAGGCAAACAGGCUCCAACUUGUUCAUCAUAGUAAUUUCCAGCAGAACAAUGUGCUAGAAAAGAUAUAUUCAGAGAUUUAAAGAUUUUUUAUAGUUGAGAGUAUUUUGUUUUAUGUUUUAAUUCAAGCAAACCAUAUUUUGUAAAGAGAAUAAUGUAGCUACAUAAAAUAGUUAUCUUUUCAU